GUUAAUAACAUUUCCAUUUUGCUCACAUAUUUUCUUAACUGUAGUUACCUUGAACAAGAAGAACUUAUUACACUGGAAAAGAUUUUGGAAGGCUAUGAUGAAGGAGAUCCUGAAUUACUUCGUGAAGGAUUGAACCAUCCAUUUAUAAAACAUAUGGAUGUGGAGUAUGCCAAACUUGCCAGGAGUCUGCAAACAGCAGCCGUAGCUCAAACUCCUGAAACGGUGAUUAAUUCUACUGUUCCAACUGAAGAAGCCACUGGUGACACUGUACAAGAAAACAAUACAGAUGAUUUCUCUGGUAGUCUUUUGUAAAUAUCAUUAAACAUUAUGUAGCUUGGAAGUAAAAACCUGUCUAACAACUACACUAAAUGAAAAAUUAUGGUAGAUUAUUAUUAUUAAAUGUACAUGAUUAAACCAAUCUGUGUGUAUAUAAUUCUUUAAAACUUCUUUUCAUUAUCAUUAUUGAUGUGAAGAAUGUAAAUAUAAACUCUCACUGCAACUAUUGUCAGUACUUUACUUCUCAGGUGUCUGUAGAAUUUCUGUGGUAAAACGUUGUAAGUGUAUAGUGUUUUGCAAAAUUAAAAAAGUUAUGUUUAUAAAAGUA
This is a long non-coding RNA of Limulus polyphemus (Atlantic horseshoe crab), 604 nucleotides long. RefSeq lists it as uncharacterized. The record is from RefSeq and is a predicted model, not a curated record. The transcript has 2 exons. Lineage: Eukaryota; Metazoa; Arthropoda; Merostomata; Xiphosura; Limulidae.